UCUGAAAAAUGAAUGCAGACG
This 21-nucleotide microRNA is filed under the name Callorhinchus milii (elephant shark). Its description in RNAcentral is "eshark_mir-875_1". Lineage: Eukaryota; Metazoa; Chordata; Chondrichthyes; Chimaeriformes; Callorhinchidae. The record is from RNAcentral.